Long non-coding RNA from Lutra lutra (Eurasian river otter), 854 nucleotides. RefSeq lists it as uncharacterized. NCBI's taxonomy places the organism in Eukaryota, Metazoa, Chordata, Mammalia, Carnivora, Mustelidae. The record is from RefSeq and is a predicted model, not a curated record. The transcript is spliced from 3 exons.
CUACCGUACGCUGCAAGGCCUCUAGGGAAAUGUAGUUCUUCAGCGGGCGGGGCGCGGUGACUUACCUUUCCAGAGUCCCCAUGCCUCUGGACAGCAUCCGCCUGCUCCCUUCCUGGAGAGGCCCAGAGCUCUCAAAGCCUCACUCCUUGCCCUAUACCACCAAGCCAUUUUCCUCUAGUGCAACGUGAACCGCAGUAACAUCUCGAUGCACACUAAGGAGGGAGUCGAAGUCCCUUUGGCCAAACUAAAAUCUGAGCUCCAAUUUCACACGAAAAUCAAUGGCUUUGGCAGCAGAGAGAGCAUCCCUACACUCUGGUUCAAGAGUCCAGCCGGUCCGCUUCGUUCCUGGGAUCCAACUUUACUGGGGGAUGGAAGAGGAGAAGACACAGAGAAGGCCAUGUAAAAAUGGAGGCAGAGAUUAGAGUCAUGUAGCCAUAAACCAAGUGAUUCCUGGAGCCACAAGAAGCUAGAGGAAACAAGGAAGGAUUCUCUCUGGAGGUUUUCCAGAGGGAGGCUGACCCUACCAACACCUUGAUUUUAGACUUCUGAACUUAAGAACUGAGAAAAUAAAUUUCUGUUAUUUUAAGCCACCUCAUAUGUGGUACUUUGUUGUAGCAGCCCUAGAAAAUGAAUAGCACCAGAUACUGGAGACAACCCAGUGUGACUAUCUAACAAGAUCAGAAUGACUGAUACUGAUUAUAAUACUUCAAAUAAAUAAAAAAUCAGGAAUGCAUAAUGAUACUCAGAAGAAUGCUUUUUGGAGUCCUAGGUGAGUGUUUCAAGUAGAAGACAUAGCUUGUACCUUUGAUAAUUUGGGGCAGACUUUUUUUUAAGAAUUUAUUUGGGGCACCUGG